Molecule: small RNA, 84 nt
Filed under: Pongo abelii (Sumatran orangutan)
Lineage: Eukaryota; Metazoa; Chordata; Mammalia; Primates; Hominidae
Description: processed transcript
Source: RNAcentral
GCGGGACUCCCUGGGCCUGCUCCUUCGGCGGGAGACCAGGCGGGACGGACAGUGGCCAUGGACCUGCAGGGCACAGAGCACCGG